Molecule: ribosomal RNA, 432 nt
Filed under: uncultured bacterium
Lineage: Bacteria
Description: bacterial SSU rRNA
Rfam family: Bacterial small subunit ribosomal RNA
Source: RNAcentral
AACGAACGCUGGCGGCAUGCCUAACACAUGCAAGUCGAACGAAGGCUUCGGCCUUAGUGGCGCACGGGUGCGUAACGCGUGGGAACCUGCCCCUCGGUUCGGAAUAACAGUUAGAAAUGACUGCUAAUACCGGAUGAUGACUUCGGUCCAAAGAUUUAUCGCCGAGGGAUGGGCCCGCGUAGGAUUAGCUAGUUGGUGGGGUAAAGCCUACCAAGGCGACGAUCCUUAGCUGGUCUGAGAGGAUGAUCAGCCACACUGGGACUGAGACACGGCCCAGACUCCUACGGGAGGCAGCAGUGGGGAAUAUUGGACAAUGGGCGAAAGCCUGAUCCAGCAAUGCCGCGUGAGUGAUGAAGGCCUUAGGGUUGUAAAGCUCUUUUACCAGGGAUGAUAAUGACAGUACCUGGAGAAUAAGCUCCGGCUAACUCCGUG